RNAcentral lists this long non-coding RNA (468 nucleotides) under Phoenix dactylifera (date palm). RNAcentral's name for it is "long non-coding RNA (PDAC_LNC007847)". Lineage: Eukaryota; Viridiplantae; Streptophyta; Magnoliopsida; Arecales; Arecaceae. The record is from RNAcentral.
AUUAAUGUACUACAAUGUUCCAUUUUGAUCAAUGAAACUGAACUGUUUAUUAAUUAUUGUGUCUAUUUAUCUAUUACCAUGCACCUAUUUGAUGAUAACAAAAAGGGGGAGAAGUAAGGAAAGAGAAAUAAGUUGACAAACAAGGUUGAAAAUUAUAAUAGGAAAGACUAUACAUUUAAGGGGGAGCAAUUUGUACAAUGAAAAUGUUAAAGUCUAAAAUUUAAAUCGAAUUUUAGAUUUUGGCACAUACCUUUCAUACCUCGAUACAUAAUCUGAAACUCUUUCAUUAUCUCAAAUUUUUGAAGUGUCAUCUUUAACCAAGUAUAAAAGAAAGGGAGAGAAGACCAUAAGUUCAAAUUGGCAAUAUUUGGAUGAAAUAGGGGAAGACUUCACUCUCAUAUUUGAAAAGCUGAAAUUCAGCAACUUGAGCCCUUCUAAAAUUAAUUUUAAGAUAAGAAUCAAUUUGAU